Molecule: ribosomal RNA, 253 nt
Filed under: uncultured bacterium
Lineage: Bacteria
Description: partial 16S ribosomal RNA
Rfam family: Bacterial small subunit ribosomal RNA
Source: RNAcentral
UACGAAGGGGGCUAGCGUUGUUCGGAUUUACUGGGCGUAAAGCGCACGUAGGCGGAUCGAUCAGUCAGGGGUGAAAUCCCAGAGCUCAACUCUGGAACUGCCUUUGAUACUGUCGAUCUGGAGUAUGGAAGAGGUGAGUGGAAUUCCGAGUGUAGAGGUGAAAUUCGUAGAUAUUCGGAGGAACACCAGUGGCGAAGGCGGCUCACUGGACCGUUGUUGACGCUGAGGUGCGAAAGCGUGGGGAGCAAACAGG